RNAcentral lists this long non-coding RNA (764 nucleotides) under Brassica rapa (field mustard). RNAcentral describes it as "long non-coding RNA (BRAP_LNC001330)". The record is from RNAcentral. Lineage: Eukaryota; Viridiplantae; Streptophyta; Magnoliopsida; Brassicales; Brassicaceae.
AAAAACAAUUUAAAAAAAAAAUUCAAAAAAAAAAAUUUAUAAAAAUUUUGAAUUUGAAAACAUAUAAUCUAAAACUAUAAAAUAUUUUUUAAAAUUUUUUAAUUUUUUUUUAAUUUUUUAUAUCUAGGGUAUUAGUGUAAUUUUACCUAUUAAAUGUAACAUUUUGGUAAUUUUCCUCUUUGUGGUAUAUUUUUGUGAUCAAAACUUGAAAAUGAUUUUUUUUUUUUUUGAACACAUAGUAAUUUCAUUGAUUAGGAGAUAAAGGUUUUAUGGCCUUGGGCCUAAAUUGGAAGAUAGGCAGCUCUUUGCCAAAGAGUCUGCUGGCCCAUUAGAGGCUAUAGAGACAAAAACAACAGAAGCAAAAAUAAACGGAGAGGUCGGUGUAGAUAUCAAAGAGAUGAUGUCCGAUAGGAUUCCAUGGAGAUCCGUCGGUCUUCUUCUCGAUGCAAUUGCUCGUGUGAGCACUUGGGAGUCUGUUCUAAGACAGAUGUGUGUGAGGUUGAUUGACGCGGCGUGUAGAAGCGCUGAUCUGAUUGCCAAAGCUUCUGUCAUUAGGGGAGAUGAGACAUGGUCCUGGAAACUGGAGCCUCUGGUCAAUUCUGAGGCGUUUCUGGUGGUGAAGAUCCAUCCUAGACCCGCUGCCUCUCGAUCUGCUCUCCACGAAGCGUCGCUGUUACAGAAGAUUAAGAGCUCAGAGUUGCAAGCGGAAGCAUCAGGGGGAGGAUGUGUGAUCGUGUUAGGGGUUUUGUGAGCAGGUGUUCCCA